UGACUGCAGGAGCAGAUGAGGAAGAGAGAAAGGUUGUGUUACACUGGGUCCCUCGAGCUGGAGCAAAGGCCCGGGAGGUACGGAGGCAACCCCUGGACACAACUGCCUUUCUUGGCAGACAAAUGAUAGGAGGAGGACUUCCUCUGACAGCAAAAAGGUCUGGUUUGUAAACUGUCUGUCAAGGAUGGAAUUCAUCUCUUUGGAGGGGGAAGAGCCCCUGCCACGUCCGUUUGCUAAUCCUGUUAAGAAGGUUUUAAAAUAGAGUCACUGGAGAUUAAUGACAGGAACCCCCGGGGAAGCAUAAACAGCAGUGACCUGGACAAGAACCUAAGGCAGGCAGAAGUGAAGGUGUACAGAGAUGCCCUGCACUGAAAUCCAGACCGGAGGAGCAGCAAUAUGCCACAGACCAUCAACAUGCCAGACAUGAGAUGCUUCUUGAGUAAAUAUGAGCAUCAUCCAGAAAAUAUGACUGUCUGUGAGAAUCACUGCAGAUAUACAGUGAACUCAACCUUAAACAG
Molecule: long non-coding RNA, 518 nt
Organism: Tyto alba (common barn owl)
Lineage: Eukaryota; Metazoa; Chordata; Aves; Strigiformes; Tytonidae
Exons: 2
Source: RefSeq, a predicted model, not a curated record